RNAcentral lists this ribosomal RNA (254 nucleotides) under uncultured bacterium. Its description in RNAcentral is "partial 16S ribosomal RNA". It matches the Rfam family "Archaeal small subunit ribosomal RNA", at positions 474 to 727 of the family's 1478-position model. The record is from RNAcentral.
CACCAGCGCCACUAGUCGGGAUCACAUUUAUUGGGUCUAAAGCGUUCGUAGCCGGCCUGGCAAAUUUAUUGUGAAAUCGUUAAGCCUAACUUAACGACGAGCAGUAAACACUACCAGGCUUGGGACUGGGAGGGGCUAGAGGUAUGCUUGGGGGAGCAGUAAAAUGCUAUAAUCCCUUGCGGACCACCUGUGGCGAAGGCGUCUAGCCAGAACAGAUCCGACGGUGAGGAACGAAAGCUAGGGGAGCAAUCCGG